GAUGAACGCUGACAGCAUGCUUAACACAUGCAAGUCUUUGGCGAAGCUGUGCUUGCACAGCCUAGCCAAGGCGGACGGGUGAGUAACGCGUAAGGAACUUGCCCUGCAGUCAGGGAUAACAGACGGAAACGACUGAUAAGACCUGGUAAAGUCAGGCGGACUCAUGUCCAGCCUGAUGAAAAGGGAUGCUGCAGGAGAGCCUUGCGUCCUAUUAGCUUGUUGGUGGGGUAACGGCCCACCAAGGCGAUGAUAGGUAGCCGGCCUGAGAGGGUGGACGGCCACAAGGGGACUGAGAUACGGCCCUUACGCAUACGGGAGGCAGCAGGGGGGAAUAUUGGACAAUGGGGGCAACCCUGAUCCAGCAAUUCUGUGUGCACGAUGAAGGUUUUCGGAGUGUAAAGUGCUUUCAGCAGGGAAGAAAAAAAUGACGGUACCUGCAGAAGAAGCGACGGCUAAAUACGUG
RNAcentral lists this ribosomal RNA (463 nucleotides) under uncultured bacterium. RNAcentral describes it as "partial 16S ribosomal RNA". It matches the Rfam family "Bacterial small subunit ribosomal RNA", at positions 28 to 507 of the family's 1533-position model. The record is from RNAcentral.